Cyanistes caeruleus (blue tit) is the source of this 326-nucleotide non-coding RNA. NCBI's taxonomy places the organism in Eukaryota, Metazoa, Chordata, Aves, Passeriformes, Paridae. The record is from RefSeq and is a predicted model, not a curated record.
AGCAAAACAGAGCCUAGCAGACAAUGUAAUGGAGUGGAUUCUUACACAAAAGCCCUAAAUCACAAGGUUCUCUUUAGGUACUGAAAGGCUGCAAUAAAGUCACCCAAAGACUUCUCUAUUCCAAGCUGCACAAUCCCAAGUCUCUCCUCGUUAGAGAGGUACUCAUUCCUCUGAUGAUAUUACUACAUGUGGGUGAAACUGAUUUGGAGAAAGUAAUGAGAGGUCUUCCUUCAAUGCCAUGAGCCUCCAGGACAUUGGCAUAGGGCUAUAGAGAGACGUGAGCUGUUUAACUACCCCUCAGAAAGACUAUUCUGCCAGGAUAAACC